CCGUGGUUAGCUCAGUUGGUAGAGUUCUCCACUGGAAAUGGAGAGGUCUCGGGUUCAAUACCCAGACCAGGCA
This 73-nucleotide transfer RNA is filed under the name Ixodes scapularis (black-legged tick). It matches the Rfam family "tRNA". From Rfam's summary of the family: Transfer RNA (tRNA) molecules are approximately 80 nucleotides in length. The record is from Rfam by way of RNAcentral. Lineage: Eukaryota; Metazoa; Arthropoda; Arachnida; Ixodida; Ixodidae.